RNAcentral lists this ribosomal RNA (510 nucleotides) under uncultured bacterium. RNAcentral describes it as "partial 16S ribosomal RNA". It matches the Rfam family "Bacterial small subunit ribosomal RNA", at positions 28 to 507 of the family's 1533-position model. The record is from RNAcentral.
GACGAACGCUGGCGGCGUGCUUAACACAUGCAAGUCGAACGAAGAGCGAUGGAAGCUUGCUUCUAUCACUCUUAGUGGCGAACGGGUGAGUAACGCGUAAUCAACCUGCCCUUCAGAGGGGGACAACAGUUGGAAACGACUGCUAAUACCGCAUACGAUCUAAUCUCGGCAUCGAGGAAAGAUGAAAGGUGGCCUCUAUUUAUAAGCUAUCACUGAAGGAGGGGACUGCGUCUGAUUAGCUAGUUGGAGGGGUAACGGCCCACCAAGGCGAUGAUCAGUAGCCGGUCUGAGAGGAUGAACGGCCACAUUGGGACUGAGACACGGCCCAGACUCCUACGGGAGGCAGCAGUGGGGAAUCUUCCGCAAUGGACGAAAGUCUGACGGAGCAACGCCGCGUGAGUGAUGACGGCCUUCGGGAUGUAAAGCUCUGUUAAUCGGGACGAAAGGCCUUCUUGCGAACAGUUAGAAGGAUUGACGGUACCGGAAUAGAAAGCCACGGCUAACUACGUG